This 435-nucleotide ribosomal RNA is filed under the name uncultured Saccharofermentans sp. Its description in RNAcentral is "partial 16S ribosomal RNA". It matches the Rfam family "Bacterial small subunit ribosomal RNA", at positions 341 to 792 of the family's 1533-position model. The record is from RNAcentral. Lineage: Bacteria; Bacillati; Bacillota; Clostridia; Eubacteriales; Oscillospiraceae.
ACGGGAGGCAGCAGUGGGGAGUAUUGGGCAAUGGGCGCAAGCCUGACCCAGCAACGCCGCGUGAAGGAUGAAGGUCUUCGGAUUGUAAACUUCUUUGAUCAGGGACGAAUAAUGACGGUACCUGAAGAACAAGUCACGGCUAACUAAGUGCCAGCAGCCGCGGUAAUACGUAGGUGACAAGCGUUAUCCGGAUUUACUGGGUGUAAAGGGCGUGUAGGCGGUUUGGCAAGUCAGAAGUGAAAUUCCCGGGCUUAACUUGGGCGCUGCUUCUGAAACUGCUUAACUUGAGUACUGGAGAGGAUAGUGAAAUUCCUAGUGUAGCGGUAAAAUGCACAGAUAUUAGGAGGAACACCGGUGGCGAAGGCGGCUUACUGGGCCUUUACUGACGCUGAGGCACGUAAGCGUGGGGAGCAAACAGGAUUAGAUACCCUGGUA